This 416-nucleotide ribosomal RNA is filed under the name uncultured cyanobacterium. RNAcentral's name for it is "bacterial SSU rRNA". It matches the Rfam family "Bacterial small subunit ribosomal RNA", at positions 505 to 918 of the family's 1533-position model. The record is from RNAcentral. Lineage: Bacteria; Bacillati; Cyanobacteriota.
GUGCCAGCCGCCGCGGUAAGACGGAGGAUGCAAGCGUUAUCCGGAAUGAUUGGGCGUAAAGCGUCCGCAGGUGGCAAUUCAAGUCUGCUGUUAAAGCGCAGGGCUUAACUCUGUAAAGGCAGUGGAAACUGAAUAGCUAGAGUGUGGUAGGGGCAGAGGGAAUUCCCAGUGUAGCGGUGAAAUGCGUAGAGAUUGGGAAGAACAUCGGUGGCGAAGGCGCUCUGCUGGACCAUAACUGACACUCACAGGACGAAAGCUAGGGGAGCGAAUGGGAUUAGAUACCCCAGUAGUCCUAGCCGUAAACGAUGGAUACUAGGUGUUGUCUGUAUCGACCCGGACAGUGCCGUAGCUAACGCGUUAAGUAUCCCGCCUGGGGAGUACGCACGCAAGUGUGAAACUUAAAUGAAUUGACGGGG